UGGGGAAUUUUGGACAAUGGGCGAAAGCCUGAUCCAGCAAUGCCGCGUGUGUGAAGAAGGCCUUCGGGUUGUAAAGCACUUUUGUCCGGAAAGAAAUCCUUGGCUCUAAUACAGUCGGGGGAUGACGGUACCGGAAGAAUAAGCACCGGCUAACUACGUGCCAGCAGCCGCGGUAAUACGUAGGGUGCAAGCGUUAAUCGGAAUUACUGGGCGUAAAGCGUGCGCAGGCGGUUUGCUAAGACCGAUGUGAAAUCCCCGGGCUCAACCUGGGAACUGCAUUGGUGACUGGCAGGCUAGAGUAUGGCAGAGGGGGGUAGAAUUCCACGUGUAGCAGUGAAAUGCGUAGAGAUGUGGAGGAAUACCGAUGGCGAAGGCAGCCCCUGGGCAAUACUGACGCUCAUGCACGAAAAGCGUGGGGAGCAAACAGGAUUAAUACCCUGGUAGUCCACGCCCUAAACGAUGUCAACUAGUUGUU
Molecule: ribosomal RNA, 475 nt
Filed under: uncultured bacterium
Lineage: Bacteria
Description: partial 16S ribosomal RNA
Rfam family: Bacterial small subunit ribosomal RNA
Source: RNAcentral